UACACACUUCAUUUUUUAUUUCUCUCCUCUUUAGAUUCCCUCUCUUCCUCACAGUCCUCUCAAGAGGCGAUUAUUUUCUACGCUCUUCCAUUUCUUCACUCUACAAUUUCUUCGCAUUUUCUCAUCAAUUUCUCGCGAUAAUCUAUUAAGCUUGUAAUAAGCUAAAACUAGAUGGAGAGGUUUGGAAAUUAGUCAAUUUUGUAAAAGUGGAUUUGUCACCGCCACUUCUUAUGAUGCUCAAUUCCCGGUAUCAUUUGUGGAAUUUUUUUUAUUAUUGAAGCUAAUAAUGAUUUGAAUGAUAUAUUUUUAUUCGUUUUAACCCUUUAAUAAUUGAAUACAUUUGGAUUUGACAAAGGAAAUGCAAUGCUGCUGCUAGCCUGCUACAGUUAAUUUUGAGUUGAGAGGGAAGCAUAGAUAUGAUCUAUAAUACCGAUAGUAUUGGUAUAUGUUAACUUUGUGCAAUUGCCAUGUAAUUAUGUUUUUUUUUUAUAGCUAUUACUGUAGAAAUAUGCAAAACAUGGUCAGCACAUUGUGUCAUGAUUACUAUAAAAACAAGACACUGGUUGUAGUUUGACUCAGAGUUUUAGAUAUUAUUGAAUGACAUGCAUACUUGUGGUUUCUCAA
This is a long non-coding RNA of Chenopodium quinoa (quinoa), 624 nucleotides long. RefSeq lists it as uncharacterized. Lineage: Eukaryota; Viridiplantae; Streptophyta; Magnoliopsida; Caryophyllales; Amaranthaceae. The transcript is spliced from 2 exons. The record is from RefSeq and is a predicted model, not a curated record.